Molecule: ribosomal RNA, 253 nt
Filed under: uncultured bacterium
Lineage: Bacteria
Description: partial 16S ribosomal RNA
Rfam family: Bacterial small subunit ribosomal RNA
Source: RNAcentral
UACGUAGGGGGCGAGCGUUGUCCGGAUUUAUUGGGCGUAAAGCGCACGUAGGCGGACUCUUAAGUCGGUGGUGAAAUCCUGGAGCUCAACUCCAGAACUGCCUUCGAUACUGGGAGUCUCGAGUUCGGGAGAGGUGAGUGGAACUGCGAGUGUAGAGGUGAAAUUCGUAGAUAUUCGCAAGAACACCAGUGGCGAAGGCGGCUCACUGGCCCGAUACUGACGCUGAGGUGCGAAAGCGUGGGGAGCAAACAGG